GUGAGGAAUAUUGGACAAUGGGCGCAAGCCUGAUCCAGCCAUGCCGCGUGCAGGAAGACGCAUCUAUGGUGUGUAAACUGCUUUUGUACGGGAAGAAACACUCCCUCGUGAGGGAGCUUGACGGUACCGUAAGAAUAAGGAUCGGCUAACUCCGUGCCAGCAGCCGCGGUAAUACGGAGGAUCCAAGCGUUAUCCGGAAUCAUUGGGUUUAAAGGGUCCGUAGGCGGUUUAAUAAGUCAGUGGUGAAAGCCCAUCGCUCAACGAUGGAACGGCCAUUGAUACUGUUAGACUUGAAUUACAAGGAAGUAACUAGAAUAUGUAGUGUAGCGGUGAAAUGCUUAGAUAUUACAUGGAAUACCAAUUGCGAAGGCAGGUUACUACUUGUGGAUUGACGCUGAUCGACGAAAGCGUGGGGAGCGAACAGGAUUAGAAACCCUUGUAGUCC
Molecule: ribosomal RNA, 445 nt
Filed under: uncultured bacterium
Lineage: Bacteria
Description: partial 16S ribosomal RNA
Rfam family: Bacterial small subunit ribosomal RNA
Source: RNAcentral